GUGUUCGUAGCUUAGCUGGAUAGAGCAACGGCCUUCUAAGCCGUGGGUCGGGGGUUCGAAUCCCUUCGGGCACA
RNAcentral lists this transfer RNA (74 nucleotides) under Eubacterium sp. RNAcentral describes it as "tRNA-Arg". It matches the Rfam family "tRNA". From Rfam's summary of the family: Transfer RNA (tRNA) molecules are approximately 80 nucleotides in length. Their secondary structure includes four short double-helical elements and three loops (D, anti-codon, and T loops). Lineage: Bacteria; Bacillati; Bacillota; Clostridia; Eubacteriales; Eubacteriaceae. The record is from RNAcentral.